Molecule: ribosomal RNA, 301 nt
Filed under: uncultured bacterium
Lineage: Bacteria
Description: partial 16S ribosomal RNA
Rfam family: Bacterial small subunit ribosomal RNA
Source: RNAcentral
CAGUCGCCGCGGGAAUACGAAGGGUGCAAGCGUUACUCGGAAUUACUGGGCGUAAAGCGUGCGUAGGUGGUGGUUUAAGUCCGUUGUGAAAGCCCUGGGCUCAACCUGGGAAUUGCGAUGGAUACUGGGCGACCAGAGUGCGGUAGAGGAUAGUGGAAUUUCCGGUGUAGCAGUGAAACGCGUAGAGAUCGGAAGGAACAUCUGUGGCGAAGGCGGCCAUCUGGGACAACACUGACGCUGAGGCACGAAAGCGUGGGGAGCAAACAGGAUUAGAUACCCCAGUAGUCCCUGUCUCUUAUAC